ACGGAGAGUUUGAUCCUGGCUCAGGACGAACGCUGGCGGCGUGCUUAACACAUGCAAGUCGAACGAGGACCAGGGAGCUUGCUCCCUGUAACCGAGUGGCGAACGGGUGAGUAACACGUGAUCAACUUGUCCUAGGGCGGGGGACAACCUGGGGAAACCCGGGCUAAUACCGCAUGAUGUCUCAUUCUCGCAUGGGGAUGAGAUCAAAGAGGGCCUCUGCUUGCAAGCUCUUGCCCAAGGAGGGGAUCGCGACGUAUCAGCUUGUUGGUAGGGUAAUGGCCUACCAAGGCUACGACGCGUAGCGGGUCUGAGAGGAUGACCCGUCACAUUGGGACUGAGAUACGGCCCAGACUCCUACGGGAGGCAGCAGUAGGGAAUAUUGCGCAAUGGACGAAAGUCUGACGCAGCGACGCCGCGUGU
RNAcentral lists this ribosomal RNA (420 nucleotides) under Gemmatimonadota bacterium. Its description in RNAcentral is "bacterial SSU rRNA". It matches the Rfam family "Bacterial small subunit ribosomal RNA", at positions 1 to 404 of the family's 1533-position model. The record is from RNAcentral. Lineage: Bacteria; Pseudomonadati; Gemmatimonadota.